This is a non-coding RNA of Bos taurus (domestic cattle), 72 nucleotides long. The record is from Rfam. NCBI's taxonomy places the organism in Eukaryota, Metazoa, Chordata, Mammalia, Artiodactyla, Bovidae.
UCCCUGGUGGCUCAGAUGGUAAAGCAUCUGCCUACAAUGCGGGAGACCUGGGUUCGAUCCCUGGGUUGGGAA